AUUGAACGCUGGCGGCAGGCUUAACACAUGCAAGUCGAGCGGGGGAAGGUAGCUUGCUACUGGACCUAGCGGCGGACGGGUGAGUAAUGCUUAGGAAUCUGCCUAUUAGUGGGGGACAACAUCUCGAAAGGGAUGCUAAUACCGCAUACGUCCUACGGGAGAAAGCAGGGGAUCUUCGGACCUUGCGCUAAUAGAUGAGCCUAAGUCGGAUUAGCUAGUUGGUGGGGUAAAGGCCUACCAAGGCGACGAUCUGUAGCGGGUCUGAGAGGAUGAUCCGCCACACUGGGACUGAGACACGGCCCAGACUCCUACGGGAGGCAGCAGUGGGGAAUAUUGGACAAUGGGGGGAACCCUGAUCCAGCCAUGCCGCGUGUGUGAAGAAGGCCUUAUGGUUGUAAAGCACCUUAAGCGAGGAGGAGGCUACUUUAGUUAAUACCUAGAGAUAGUGGACGUUACUCGCAGAAUAAGCACCGGCUAACUCUGUGCCAGCCGCCGCGGUAA
Molecule: ribosomal RNA, 501 nt
Filed under: uncultured bacterium
Lineage: Bacteria
Description: partial 16S ribosomal RNA
Rfam family: Bacterial small subunit ribosomal RNA
Source: RNAcentral